GCUACUGGUCCGGAGUCAGUGGGUUAUCUUUCAAAAACUGGAAAAUUCACCCCAUUGGCACAAACUUGACCAAUAG
Non-coding RNA from Oesophagostomum dentatum (nodular worm), 76 nucleotides. NCBI's taxonomy places the organism in Eukaryota, Metazoa, Nematoda, Chromadorea, Rhabditida, Strongylidae. The record is from Rfam.